RNAcentral lists this unclassified non-coding RNA (280 nucleotides) under Hevea brasiliensis (rubber tree). Lineage: Eukaryota; Viridiplantae; Streptophyta; Magnoliopsida; Malpighiales; Euphorbiaceae. The record is from RNAcentral.
UUGAUUAAUUCAAUAAAUCAACAUAACACUGUCAAUUUGUAAUCUACAUAAGGUGACAUAUUCCCAAUCUAGUGAUACCAAGCUGCCACGUUGGUCGUCCAAUUUAUUUGAUUAGUGUACUCCUGAGUCCUGUUGUUUAGGUUUCACUUUAUUUGAUUAUUUACUAUUGCUUAUCAGAUGUAAGCUCGUGCUCAUGUUGAUCUUAAUUUAGUGCGCAUAAGGUUCUCAUUUUGUUUGUUUUUUUGUGUUUUAUGUUUAGCUCAAAGAGAUUCCUCUGCUG